Molecule: long non-coding RNA, 2626 nt
Organism: Aegilops tauschii subsp. strangulata
Lineage: Eukaryota; Viridiplantae; Streptophyta; Magnoliopsida; Poales; Poaceae
Source: RefSeq, a predicted model, not a curated record
UUAAGCGAGUUUCUGUUUCGGCUGGUCAAGAAUAAUGCUGAUCCUUCUGUUCUGCGGUGGAUCUUGUUGCAAGUUGAUGAAACAAGACAGCGAUGCUCCACGAGGUGUUGAGUUCAUGCUUAUCUAGAUGUUACCUGGACUGAGUGUGCUUCUGUAGGUUAAGUCAACUCUUUCCUCUCUCUUAACAACUUGUAGACACUGUGUCCUAGGGAAAACAUAUAUGAGAUGUAAUCUGAUGUAUCCUAUGCUUUCAUGAAUUUUCUCCCUGGGGCUAUGGCCAAAUCGAACAUGAACCCCCGUGCAUUCCAUUUUUUUCUCGGGAUCAACUGCAACAUGACGGAUAGGAAACACUAAUUAGAUAUAUUAAUUUAUCUCCUCAUCCAGUACCCGUGAAGACUGCACAUUCUAACAGUUGUUUGUUAUCAUAUGGGCUGUUAGUAGGUUAAAACAGAAACCUGCAGUAUUAAGCGAGAUAGACCGGCCAAUCGAAGUUGUUCUAUAUUUUCUUCUCGGUGAAAUUAGGGCACAUUGUCACUUUGUGUCCAAGACAGAAAAAAGAGUUAACUUUCUCUAUUACCGCACCUAGACUAUCGGCCGUGCAUUCUGUUUUCUCUCUCUCUCGAACAGCUGAAAAAUGACACAUAGGAAACACUAAUUAGAUGCAUUUAUCUCCUUAUCUAUAUUAUGAAGUACUCUUGAAGCAAUAAUUGGAUCUUACUGUAGGUGGAUGAAAGUUGCCAGUCUACUCCAUGAGGUUCAUGCUUAUCUUGAAGCUGACUGACCCAUAUUAGCAUUGAACACAUCUUUGGAGGUAGCAGAGACAUACCAGCACAGCAACAGUGCUUCACGGCAAUUGGGGCGAAGGUGCAACUAACGGAACCAAAUUGACAGGCUGUUGGAAGGUUGAUGAAACAAUACAGCGAUGCUCCACAGGUGCUGAGUUCAUGCUCAUCUAGAUGUUGCCUGGAAGGUAUCAUGUCUGAGAGUGUUUCUGUAGGUGAAGUCAGCUCUUCCCUCUCUCUUAACAACUUGUUUUUUGAAUUACAACUCUUAGCAUAUUAGGUGCACUGGCCAUAUGAGAUGCAAGCUGAUGUAUGUAUCCUAUGCUUUUAUGAAUCUUUCUCCCUCGUGCUACGGCCAAGUCGAACUUGUACACCCGUGCAUUCUAUUUCUUUUUCUCGAAUAGCCGAAACAUGACAGAUAGGCAAUACUAAUUAAAUAGAUACAUGCAUGUAUCUCAUUAUCCUAUAUUAUGAAGUAUUUGUGAAGACACUUCUGCUUCGGUAGACCCCCCUUAAACACAUUAACGAUUGAGAUUACUCCAUACCCCUUCAUAAUAAAGGGCACGAUGGUUAUUUUGAAAGUAUAUCACCUUCGAGUAUUACCGAGCACGGAUACGGUGCACAACUGGGCCGGCCUACCAGGCAAGAGGCCACUUGCCAUUUGAGUGCGCGAGGUAAAAAUGCUGGGAAAAUUAGAAAACAAGAAUGAGGGGUCGAACUCAUAACCUCAUCCUUCAGUUUAGGGGAGCAAGCCACUGGACUACGCCACCACUGCUGAAAAUGUAAAUCACGAAAUAUACUAUUAUUUGCUCCUUGUAGUACUUUGUACUCCUCAAGUUUUUUUUUCCUUUUGAGAAUCUUUGUACUACUCAAGUUGUUCAAGGGUUCUGUGCGUCUAUAUUUAUUUUGUGUGGAGGAACGUAGAAAAGUACUACGUGGAUACAUGUGCAAAUCUCAAAUCGAUUUGUGCAAGCUAUACUUGUACACGUGUGCGCGCAUGUCAUUUCUGUUGAUUUCUUCGUCAUAGAUUCAUGGAUAUAGUCUAGUGUAUGUGUAUGUAUGUCCAAACAGCCAUUGUAUCAUGUAUGUAUGUUCCCAUUUUUUAUAAUUUUGUUCCCAAAUUUAAAAAGUUGAUAAAUUUUUAAAAAAGUACAUAGUAUGCAAAUUGUCUUCAAUAUAAAUUAUUGGGAAUUUGUUAACAAUUUUGAAAAAAUGUUCAAUUUUAUAAAAUUUCCAUACACAAUUUAAAACUUCAAAAUUAUUGACAAAAUUUCAAGAAGUGGUUACGAUAUGAGAAAAUAUUCAUGUUAAUUGAUAAUGACGAAAACUGCAAAUAACUAAAGCAUUCAAAUUAGGAAAAAUUACAUGCUUAGAGAUCCAUCCGUCUGGCCUAGUCUAACACACUCCUCUCAACUGGUGUUUUUUUGGACCAUGGAUAAGUGACUCCAACUUCUGGCAGUAGCCUGGCACGAACAUAUGAGGCAUCCGAGCCAGGUUUAAACGACUUCCGACAUUGUUUGCACGUUGCCAUACGUCCGACAAGAUAUCAUACCCUUUUCACCGAGAAAACUCCAGAAAAUACAAAAUUUGUCAAGAAUCCAAACAACUUGGCAUAAUGCCUUGAAUUGGUCACAUAAGUUUGUGAAAAAAACUGGGGCCAUUUGACAGAUGUGAAAAGACAAUGUGCUUUAAAACAGGCUCUUCUAGCUUUACGAAACACCCUCCGUUGAACAUGAUCUAGUUUUGGACAUUCUUAAAAUGACCUCAGCUUUUGCAAGUAGGUGGAUAUACCCGUGGUAGACAUCCAUGCCUAGUUUAAAUGAUUGCCAACACCAUAUGCAAGU